ACUGGUGCCCCAGUUAAAUUAGAACCACACCAAUCCAUACCGAACUUGGUAGUGAAAUGAUUUGAAGGCGAAAAUACUUGUAGGGUGACCUGCUGGAAAAAUAGUUUGGUGCCAG
RNAcentral lists this ribosomal RNA (115 nucleotides) under Chloroidium sp. KL-2023a. Lineage: Eukaryota; Viridiplantae; Chlorophyta; Trebouxiophyceae; Watanabeales; Watanabeaceae. The record is from RNAcentral.